AUUGAACGCUGGCGGAAUGCUUUACACAUGCAAGUCGAACGGCAGCACGGGAGCUUGCUCCUGGUGGCGAGUGGCGAACGGGUGAGUAAUGCAUCGGAACGUACCUAUUAGUGGGGGAUAACUAUCCGAAAGGAUAGCUAAUACCGCAUACGUCCUGAGGGAGAAAGCGGGGGAGCGCAAGACCUCGCGCUAAUAUAGCGGCGGAUGUUGGAUUAGCUAGUUGGUGGGGCAAAGGCCUACCAAGGCGACGAUCCAUAGCUGGUCUGAGAGGAUGAUCAGCCACACUGGGACUGAGACACGGCCCAGCCUCCUACGGGAGGCAGCAGUGGGGAAUUUUGGACAAUGGGGGCAACCCUGAUCCAGCCAUUCCGCGUGAGUGAAGAAGGCCUUCGGGUUGUAAAGCUCUUUCGGCAGGAACGAAACGGUGGUUACUAAUACUAGCUACUAAUGACGGUACCUGAAGACGAAGCACCGGCUAACUACGUGCCAGCAGCCGCCGUAA
This 502-nucleotide ribosomal RNA is filed under the name uncultured bacterium. RNAcentral describes it as "partial 16S ribosomal RNA". It matches the Rfam family "Bacterial small subunit ribosomal RNA", at positions 30 to 523 of the family's 1533-position model. The record is from RNAcentral.